GGGGGGGGGGGGGGGGGGGGGUGGGGGGGGGGGGGCGGGGGGGAGGGCCCUGCGGUGGGGGGGGGCGCGGGGGGCGAGCGGGGGAGUAACACGGGAGUAGGCUGCCCUUGACUUUGGGAUAACGUCAGGAAACUGGGGCUAAACCCGGAGGGGAGCUGCUGCUGCAUGGGGGGGUUUGGGACUUUUCGGCGGUUGGGGAUGUACUCGCGGCUUAUCGUCUUGUUGGUGGGUGCGUGGCUUACCAAGGCUUUGAAGGGUAGCCGGCCUGAGAGGGUGACCGGCCAAUUGGGACUGCGAUACGGCCCAGACUCCUACGGGAGGCAGCAGUGUGGAAUAUUGCACAAUGGGCGGAAGCCUGAUGCAGCAACGCCGCGUGCGGGAUGACGGCCUUCGGGUUGUAAACCGCUUUCGCCUGUGACGAAGCGUGAGUGACGGUAAUGGGUAAAGAAGCACCGGCUAACUACGUG
RNAcentral lists this ribosomal RNA (467 nucleotides) under uncultured bacterium. Its description in RNAcentral is "partial 16S ribosomal RNA". The stretch from base 52 to 467 matches the Rfam family "Bacterial small subunit ribosomal RNA", at positions 39 to 507 of the family's 1533-position model. The record is from RNAcentral.